This 460-nucleotide ribosomal RNA is filed under the name uncultured bacterium. RNAcentral describes it as "partial 16S ribosomal RNA". It matches the Rfam family "Bacterial small subunit ribosomal RNA", at positions 338 to 795 of the family's 1533-position model. The record is from RNAcentral.
CCUACGGGAGGCAGCAGUGAGGAAUAUUGGUCAAUGGACGAGAGUCUGAACCAGCCAAGCAGCGUGAAGGAUGACUGCCCUAUGGGUUGUAACCUUCUUUUAUAUGGGAAUAAAAUGCUCUACGUGAGGGAUAUUGUACGUAUCACAUGAAUAAGGAACGGCUAACUCCGCGCCAGCAGCCGCGGUAAUACGGAGGAUCCGAGCGUUAUCCGGAUUUAUUGGGUUUAAAGGGAGCGUAGGUGGAUUGUUAAGUCAGUUGUGAAAGUUUGCGGCUCAACCGUAAAAUUGCAGUUGAAACUGGCAGUCUUGAGUACAGUAGAGGUGAGCGGAAUUCGUGGUGUAGCGGUGAAAUGCUUAGAUAUCACGAAGAACUCCGAUUGCGAAGGCAGCUCACUGGACUGCAACUGACACUGAGGCUCGAAAGUGUGGGUAUCAAACAGGAUUAGAUACCCGAGUAGUC